This 330-nucleotide RNase P RNA is filed under the name Variovorax sp. OV329. RNAcentral describes it as "Bacterial RNase P class A". It matches the Rfam family "Bacterial RNase P class A". Rfam says of the family: Ribonuclease P (RNase P) is a ubiquitous endoribonuclease, found in archaea, bacteria and eukarya as well as chloroplasts and mitochondria. Its best characterised activity is the generation of mature 5'-ends of tRNAs by cleaving the 5'-leader elements of precursor-tRNAs. Cellular RNase Ps are ribonucleoproteins. RNAcentral also lists the same sequence under 1 other name. The record is from Rfam by way of RNAcentral. Lineage: Bacteria; Pseudomonadati; Pseudomonadota; Betaproteobacteria; Burkholderiales; Comamonadaceae.
GGAGCACGCCGGACCGCCGCUGGUGCAAGUCUCGAAAGAGCGCACUGGAGGAACGUCCGGACUGCAUAGGACAGCGCAGGAGCUAACGGCUCUCCACCGUGAGGUGAGGAUCAGAGCAACAGAGACGAGUCCCGGGGGCGCAAGCCAUCGGGGGUGAAACGGGCAAUCUCUGCGCGCAGCAACACCAAGUAGGCCAGUAUCGAGGUGGUUCCGCUGAGCUGGCGGGUAGGUGGCAUCGAGCCGUCCGGGCGACCGGCGGCCCAGAGUAAUGGCGGUCACGCCGGGGGCAACCCCGGUGCACAGAAUCCGGCGUACAGGCGCGCUCCACAC